This 388-nucleotide ribosomal RNA is filed under the name uncultured bacterium. Its description in RNAcentral is "bacterial SSU rRNA". It matches the Rfam family "Bacterial small subunit ribosomal RNA", at positions 370 to 772 of the family's 1533-position model. The record is from RNAcentral.
AAUGGGCGCAAGCCUGACCCAGCAACGCCGCGUGAAGGAAGAAGGCUUUCGGGUUGUAAACUUCUUUUAUGAGGGACGAAACAAAUGACGGUACCUCAUGAAUAAGCCACGGCUAACUACGUGCCAGCAGCCGCGGUAAUACGUAGGUGGCAAGCGUUAUCCGGAUUUACUGGGUGUAAAGGGCGUGUAGGCGGGACUGCAAGUCAGAUGUGAAAUUCCAGGGCUCAACCCUGGACCUGCAUUUGAAACUGUGGUUCUUGAGUGAUGGAGAGGCAGGCGGAAUUCCCUGUGUAGCGGUGAAAUGCGUAGAUAUAGGGAGGAACACCAGUGGCGAAGGCGGCCUGCUGGACAUUAACUGACGCUGAGGCGCGAAAGCGUGGGGAGCAAA